This 253-nucleotide ribosomal RNA is filed under the name uncultured bacterium. RNAcentral describes it as "partial 16S ribosomal RNA". It matches the Rfam family "Bacterial small subunit ribosomal RNA", at positions 524 to 776 of the family's 1533-position model. The record is from RNAcentral.
UACAGAGGGUGCGAGCGUUGUUCGGAAUUAUUGGGCGUAAAGGGCGCGUAGGCGGCCUUCUAAGUCAGACGUGAAAUCCCCCGGCUUAACCUGGGAACUGCGUCUGAUACUGGGAGGCUUGAGUAUGGGAGAGGGAUGUAGAAUUCCAGGUGUAGCGGUGAAAUGCGUAGAUAUCUGGAGGAAUACCGGUGGCGAAGGCGGCAUCCUGGACCAUUACUGACGCUGAGGCGCGAAAGCUAGGGGAGCAAACGGG